RNAcentral lists this unclassified non-coding RNA (265 nucleotides) under Hevea brasiliensis (rubber tree). Lineage: Eukaryota; Viridiplantae; Streptophyta; Magnoliopsida; Malpighiales; Euphorbiaceae. The record is from RNAcentral.
ACGAGAUUGAUGGAUUGAAAGAGCACAUUUGCAGCAGGGAGGGAAAAAUCCCCGCCAAUGCUUGCGUUAAGGGGCAGUGAUGCACCCAGGUAAUUCACCUGCAGAUCAUUGUGCUAUUGCUAUAUGAUUCGGAAGUAAAAUCAUGGAGGUUGUAGAUUGAUGCAUAUAAUUAGAAUUGUCAGCUACUAAGUCUAUGUUAAUAGUACAUUAGACAGAAACCCAGCGACCAAUCACCUCUUUUAACUUCAAUUUUUUCAUUGUAAGA